UACGUAGGGUGCAAGCGUUAAUCGGAAUUACUGGGCGUAAAGCGUGCGCAGGCGGCUUUGCAAGACAGAUGUGAAAUCCCCGGGCUUAACUGGGCGGGGUCAGCGGAUACGGUGUGGCUGGAGCAAGCUAGGGGGCAAUGGAAUUCCCGGUGUAGUGGUGGAAUGCGUAGAUAUCGGGAGGAACACCAGUGGCGAAGGCGGUUGCCUGGAGCUUUGCUGACGCUGAUGCGCGAAAGCGUGGGGAGCGAUCCGG
This 253-nucleotide ribosomal RNA is filed under the name uncultured bacterium. RNAcentral describes it as "partial 16S ribosomal RNA". It matches the Rfam family "Bacterial small subunit ribosomal RNA", at positions 524 to 776 of the family's 1533-position model. The record is from RNAcentral.